This 45-nucleotide non-coding RNA is filed under the name Polytomella parva. The record is from RNAcentral. Lineage: Eukaryota; Viridiplantae; Chlorophyta; Chlorophyceae; Chlamydomonadales; Chlamydomonadaceae.
GAAAAAGAGGAAAAAGAAGAAAAAGAAGAAAAAGAGGAAAAAAGG